CACCAAUCAAGCCUGGCUUGGUGUUGGGCCCCGGGGGUGACCCGGACCUCAAUAUCCGCCGGCCGGACGACCCGGACCCCAGCGUUAAGGCACUGUCACAAGUUCCGCUGGAGGGGACGGGGCGGCCGCGCCGUUACGAAACGCGUCGGCUCGCCGACGAAA
RNAcentral lists this unclassified non-coding RNA (162 nucleotides) under uncultured Capnodiales. Its description in RNAcentral is "sequence contains ITS2". The record is from RNAcentral. Lineage: Eukaryota; Fungi; Ascomycota; Dothideomycetes; Capnodiales.